Molecule: long non-coding RNA, 9394 nt
Filed under: Malus domestica (apple)
Lineage: Eukaryota; Viridiplantae; Streptophyta; Magnoliopsida; Rosales; Rosaceae
Description: long non-coding RNA (MDOM_LNC020732)
Source: RNAcentral
CCCGACUUUAAAUGUUAAUAACCUCUUCGUUCUAACACUGUUUCACAAACAGUUUGAGCCUACUUGUUCGUAAGAUCGAGGUCUAUUCAAAAAUAUAAAUUUUGACCUCGAAAGGUCUACGUAUUUUAAAUAAUUAAUGUUCAAACUUUAAACCUCGUAACUAGUUUAAUUUAAAACUAAAAUUUUAUAAAUUAAUAUAAAUUCUCAAUUCUUUUCACAUAUUCAUAAUUAUGAAUACCCAAUUCAUAUAUUUAAAAUUUUCAGGGUAUUACAGUCACCCCCCGUUAAAAUAAAUCUCGUCCCCGAGAUUUCAACCAUCGAAUAACGAAAAGGGAUUUUGAACUAAUCCCACCGUUCCAUUUGUAUGGAAUAAAAUCAUAAUGAUUCCACCAUAUACACAUAUUCUUAACAACAUUCACUAGCAGGACAAAAUAUUCGAAAUUUUGGCCAUACACAUUGGCAAUUUAACAUCAAACAUCAAGCCGCCACCCAUUAUUGGCUAAAUAACUACUAACAUAAUAAUCCCAAUCAUUUGUAAAAUCAUUCACCAUCAAUAGCUAUACUCAGCCAUUACUAUGAUUUUUCUUCCAAACUUUUAAUCACACACACGAACGAUACCAACAUUAGAAAUUUUCAUUAUUAGCAAAAACCAAUAUCAUAAAUUCCAGCCAUAACGAUCUUCAGCAAAUUUAAACAUCAAAAUCUCAAGGCAAAUUCAUCAGUGCUAAGUAAUUAUCAAAAUUUUGACCAACUCAAUUGAAUUGACAAAUCACAUAUCAAGAAUUCCAACCAAAACAUGGAAAUUUUCAAUUACACUCACUGGGUAAUGAAAAUAAGUUUAAAAUCAAAUCCGUAUUACUGUUAACAUGGAAUGAAAUCAAAAUCUCACUCUAUGAUUUUUCUUUAUGUCCGCAACUAACUAAGUUACACAUAUUAAAUUUAAAGCCUUUUAAAUCUUUCUUUUUAUCAUUUCUCUUUCCAAUUGAUUUUAAGUGCAGCCACAAAUGACAUAAUUUAGCGACUCGCACUUCUAGUGCACCAUUCACACUCUAUUAACCAAAGAAGAUAAUUUAUAUAUAUCACAACUCAACUGGCCAACACAAUUAAACCUCAUUAAUCGCAUAACCAUAAGAACAUGUGUUCUUCAUUUGUUCAGUUCGUGAUAUCGAAUCCAACAACAACGACUCUUGAAUAUGGCAACACAAGCAAUAAUUUUUGUAGUUACAAGCUUUCCUCAUCCAUUCUUUUCAUUGAACGUAAAAUACAACUGGUCAAUCAUCAAUACUAAACGAACUCAAAAUUUCAUUUCAUAAUUUUACUCAUAUCCACCAAUAAUAAAUGAAGAAAACUUCAUGGUCUUUCCACCAUUUUAAAUUAUAAUAACCAAAUCCAAAUCAUAACCUCAGUUUAUGAUUCCAUUCUCACUCAAUGAAUUUCCAUACAAAAUUCCAUUCCUGCUAUUUGGAAAUUUACAUCGUAAUUAUUGGUAAUCCCACUUCCCAUUACUUUUGGCAACACAAAUACCAGAAAUUAUGGCCAUAAACGAUAUUGGCACAAUUAAAUAUCAAAUUUCAAGCCAUAACUAUUGUGGAUAACAAAGUACUAGAAUUUUCACGCCAUAAUUCAUUAAUGGCAAACCAACCAAUCAAAUGAACUCCUCAUCAAGCGCAAUAACUCACUGGAAAACGUUUACGUUAAAUGAACUCAAGAUCUCAUUCCAUAUUUUCAUUCAUGUUUAUCCAUAACUGUGGAUGCAAAUUUCCGCCGCUUUCUUCUUGGACAAAAUUACACCUACAAAACAAUUAAUACCUUGGGCGAAGAACCUCCGAUGCCAAAGUUAGAAUUUAGAGAGAAAAAUUGUUUAGAGAGUUUUUGGGAGUUUUGCAAGAGUAUCAACUUAGGUCUUUUUAGAGAAAAUGGGGUCUAAUUUAUAGAGAAUGACCAAUCCCCUUUUUAGAAGAUGUGGCCGGCCCUUUUGGGCUCCUUUUGGUGUGUCAUGGGUGAUGGGUUAUGUAAUGGGGGAUUAAUUGGCAUAAUGGGUCAUUUAAUUGGUAAUUUAAUGGAUUAAUUAGGAAAAAAAUCCAUUAAUUCACCAAUUAAUCUAAUUUAAAUGGAAUGUUUGGAAUGGUUACCUUGUGGAGUAUAUGGAUGAAAUAACUUUUAUUUGUUACCUUCUUUGGGCAUUUUUGACUUGGUUAACGGAUGAUUGCCUGCUGCUCGUGCGUAGGAAUCCCGGUAUGCCUCAAGGGUAUUUUUGUCCUCUUUUAUCCAAAAAUCCACAUGUCGCCUUGUGAAUAUUUUUGGCUCUACAAAUGCCCCACACCUGUUGGGCUGCUCGCAGAAAAUGGCAGCAGGUGUAGAGAUCUUCUUGCUUUAGGAAACUUAGGACUACUUCCUAUUUUGAUGUAGAUUCUCUCUUUAUAGGAAAUUAGAUCCUUCUAGGAAAGGGAAAAUAAAUUUCUCUCAAAGCCUAUUUAAGUCCACCUUAACUGGGUUAUUAAAUCAACUUUGAAGAGCAAUUUAUUCUACCCUACAAGAGAGAGAGAGCUUAGAGGAUAUUUGUUCCCCCUCCUCUAGCAAUCUUCUACAUCUUGCCCAUGCAAAGGACCGUCUUUCGUUGAUUUCUUCGUCUUUUUCGUGUCGUACCGAUGUAAGAAAAAUUUAAUUUUUUCUAGUCUUCUUCUUGGAUAGUGCUAUUGUGGGGUAGCCAUCAGGGUGGUGCGACACAUUGGCUAGCAGAGGCCAGGAGUCGGCUCGACAUGGGCCGAGGAGGCAUCGUGGCAGGGGCCACUGUUUGGGCUGUUUGGCUUGGCUAGAGCCAAGGGCAAAUUGUGCGGCCGGGGCUGCGAAUUGUGAUGCUGGGGCGCAGUGCUAGGCGAGCCACAUGACUCAUGUCCUUUGGGCUCUUGGACCUUACUCAAGCCAGGUUGGAGACUGAAAGAAAUGAGGAGGUCGCGGGACUCAUGGGUUGCUGGAAUGCUGGGCAUGCAGGCCUUCUGCCUACUAGAUUGCUGGGUUGAUCUCCUUUGCUGAGUACCGUGAAUGGCGUUGGCUGCUUAGUUCUCUUCGCCGGAAGUAAGGUGGAUUGCUCCCGAAAGAUGAGGUAAAGAGGAUCAAGACGAAUGUAUUGGCUCGUCUGAUUGCUGUUGUGGAGCAUACUAUGAAUAAUGGUGGAAAGAAGAGAUCUUCCCCGCCUGCUCAAGAGAUACCGGUUGAUAACGACUGAAGACUUCUUCUGCUGCUCAUGAGGGCCCGCCUGCUGCCGAGAUACUUGUGAUUGACAUAACUUCUUCCGAUGGGAAGAAAAAUGAGGCUGCUAAAUCUGAGCCUGUGGCGCCUGCCAUGUCGAGAAUGGCUAGUACAAUUGUUGAUAAGAUGCUCAGCGUAAAGGUCCUGUCAUGCUCCCAAUGUCGAAGUCUGUACCAAGAUGUCUAUUUGGAGCUAAGUCCGAUUCACCUUUGGAGAGGCUUGCUACUAUAAAUAGCGAUAAGGUGGACUCUACUACUAAAGUGGCACCAAUGCCACUUCCUUUGCUGCUGAGACUGAUCCUGCUAGGAAGGAAGAGACUGCUCGCGUGGGCAGCUGUGAGAAAUUCACUAAACCUGCUUCUGGGGAGGCUACUGAGAUCUGUGUGCUUUUGAAGCUAGAUCUGCUUGAAGACACAAACACUUGUGCCAAGUUUGUUGAUGGCGGUAGAAAGGUUGUUUGCCCAAGUUCCUUUGCAAAGCAUACGACCCAAUAUAGAAAGACUGAUUUGCUUGCUAUGAUGUAUAUACAGCAAGGCUGCCAAAAAGGUGGCGAAGACUAUGGCAGCUGAAGCUUAUACCUUAGUCGAAGAGAUCAAGAGGUUGGAUUCUAAGCUUGUUGCUUUGAAGGGGUUUAAUAUUUCUGCCCCCACUUCUCUGCAGCUUGAGAUCACUCGCCACGAGAUCGUUGACUUGAAGACUAUGCUUGACACGAUCCAAGUUAAGUAUGAAAGUGCAGAGAAGGAGAUUGGAUGUUACAUACCUCAGAUUCAAGAUCUUAAGUUUGCAAUUUCUGAGCUUCGUUUCACUGCUUAUGCAAAGGAUGAAGAGUUGAUUGCUGCUUAUAAUCAAGUGAUCCACUUCAAGAGAAUCGUCGAUAAACUUGAACCCAAGUGUUAGAACUUUAAGAUGUACUUUUCUAUUUCUCCGGAAGACUUGCUUGUUUUUGCUUCCAUUGGUGAAGUAGUUGAAGAAGUUAGUGCCCAGGCUGGGGCAGCCGGGGGUGAAGCGUCGGAUGAUGCUGCUGCUAAGAGCGUUACGGCUGCUGAAGGUGUGGUGACCGAGUAGUCAUGGGAUGUCCAAGCUACCGUAGUCUUCUAGGUAGUCUUUAGGAUUUUAUUUGUUUUUUCUUGUAGCUCUUGUUUUGCUUGAACUCAUUCGGCCUUUGCUAAUUGUUUAUAAACAUGUUUUCCUUCACUUUUCUUCAUCUUCGCUUCUUUUGUUCAUGCCCUAACCUUUAGACUUGAUAGACUAGUGGCAGGCAUGCUACUUUUUUAUAAGUAGACAAGCUCGCGUAGCCUAUGCAGCCGUAGGUGUUGGUGUAGAAUUUUGUAAAGUUGUUAGCCAUAGGGUUGGCAGCCGGAUGCCUUACUUACAGAAGCAAACAAGUUCGCGUAACCACUAGGUUGUUAACCUUGACUUUCUCCAAUUCUGUAGGUUGCGUAGCAAGUAUCACAACACUUUAGGACUUGGUGUAGGUUGUUUCGUGCUUGGCAGAGGUGAAGCUUAUCGACUACGUAGCAUGUCGGCAGUGGAUAAAGCUUUGUAUAUGUGCGCUAGCUUGUUUAACAUUUCACAAGAAUGUGCGGUUGUAUAAGUCUAGCAAGGCUUUACUGCUCGAAGAGCAAGCCGUAAGCAGUUUUUCGGAAUCCGUAGACUACCUUAGUGUACUCAGUAGCAGCUUUAGGGUUCCAGGGCAGCUGUCUGUAGGGCGUACUGCAUAAUAUGGCCCCUCCGUCUCUAGGGCCCGGUUCUUCAUGGAUUAUGCCAAGGGACCCAAAAUCCUUCAGUUAGCUAAGCCUUGAAAAAUACCAUUGUGGCUACUUAUAGGAAUCCCGGCGCAAGCCAUCGUGCAUCUAGUUAUACUAGGGCAGCCUGGCUCAUCCACGUCUGGAAAUUUGAAGUGUAAAGUUUAUCCUCCCGUUUUGGAGAGCUGACCCAUAUGGGUGUCGGGGAAUUGGUUUACCCUCUCGCACUGGAGAGCAUGGUUGGUCCCUCGGGGGGCACAAUUCCUGCGAUGAGUCCCUAAGAAGAGCGCAGUCUUCUUUUGAAGUGCAGGAGUGAUUAGUUCCUAUAAGCAUGCAGCCGAGCCAAGUUGUGAUUACUUCUAAAUUCCUCAUUGAAAAACGAGUGAAACGAACAAGAACUUAGCUAUAAGGUAGGAACUGCAUAACAACUAGAUAGUCCUCAGCUUGUGUGGUGGUGCCCAUUGAGCUUCUUGAGUUUUCGGGCUUUGAUGUAGUGGGAGGUCACACAUGGUACCUCUUCAGAUUGUAGGCGCUUCACUGCUUUUCGAUCUUUUUUUUCGUUGUGUAAUUACUUUUGCUACCUACUCUGCUAAACUUAUACAUACCUUCCCAGAUGAGAUUCAUCUUUUUGGAGCUUUCUUUGCUGGCAGUGAUGAAGGCUUUUCUUAGGACUAGAUCUCUGGGUUGGAACUACCAGAUCUUGGCCUUUUUGUUAUGGCUGGAGAGGAACUGCUAUUGGUAAGUUGUGAUGCGGGUGAUAAUCUGCUCGCACUUCUCCUCUGCCAGAUUUAAGCUUGUGACCAUCUCCUUUUGGUUGCUUGUCUUUUGGUGGUGCGAUAUGCCCAUAGACAUCUAGGGAGUUCGUCUGGCCAUUUUCUUUUCUUAUUGGUAGGGGAUUUCUUGUGGCAGUCGAUGAUCAUCGUAGUGGAUGUUUUGGCCCACCUAUUGCCUUGAGGAUAUCUUGGCAUAGACAUGUGCUGCUUGAUGCCAUAUUUUUGGAAGAACUUAGCCAAUUCUUUGCCCACGAAUUGCUGACCGUUGUCGGUGACGAUGGAUUAAGGGAUGCCAAAUCGGUAAAUGAUCCUCCUUAAUUUGAAGCGCUCUAUGUCUGACUGAAUCGUGAUCGUCAUGGGCUCUACAUCUAUCUAUUUGGUGAAGUAGUCGGUUGCCCCGAUCAUCAUGCAUUUGCCCCUAGUAGUCUAGCUGGUGAUUAGCUAUGAAUCAAUAUGAAUUGAAAGCUUUUUCACCACCAAGUUUUUUGUCAUUUAAAGGCCUGUUAAUAGGGCUUCGUACUCUAUUUCGUUGUCAGAUGCUUUGAAGCUUAGAGUGAUCGCCUGCCUGAGCAUUGAACCGUCUGGGAUGGCAAUAACCAUGACUACUCACAAGCCUUUGUAGUUGGAUACGCCGUCGACAUGCAAAUGCCAGAAAUCUCCAUUGAGGGAGUAGGUGUGGCUAAAGUGUGUUCGGUUGCCUUUGGCGUGUCUUUUGGGUUGAGUUGUUGCGUUCGUAAAAAAACUUUGCAUCUGCCAGGGUCUACUCGUUUAUUGUUGCGAGUUUGGAUUCGGCAUAAUUGUGUGUCAUGAUGAUGACUGAGUGCGUUUGAAGGUAAAACUUAAGCUUUUGGGUUAUAACAACUAUCGCCAAAGUUAGCUUUUGAAUUUUUAAUAGCAUUGAGGAGAGCUUUUGAACUAUAGAAUACAGGUAACUGUAGAAUAUAGGUAAUCGGGCCCCCAGCUCUUCUCACAUGAUGGUAGAGCUUAUUGCUACUUUAGAUAUCGUCAAACAUACGAAUAAGUCAUUCGCUGCUUCUAGGGAGAUGAUGUCGGGUAAUUCUUCAAGUCCUUGAAUGUGCAUUAGCGAGCCUCGUCCCAAAGUGCAUGCUUCUCUACCAAAGUAAAAGAGUCUGCCAGAGUUAGAUCUUUCUUCAUGAUCAAUUUUCUGAAUAGUGGGUGGUUUGCUGGAAGGCCUUUUUGGAAGGCUGUUUUAGCUAUCGAGUCGUUGCAUUUGACUAUCCUUGCCUUCUCUGCUUUGAAUCUCCUCACAUAGUCACAAAGUGACUCUUUGGGUUCUUCUUGACUUCAAACAAAUGGUCGAACUUUUUUUUUAUCAAGUGAUAGGAUGAAUAUUCUUUGGUGAAAACCAAAAAAAGUUCAUAUAAAUUCCUGAUGCAUUGUAGUGGCAAGGUGUAGAACCAAUCUUGCGCCUUGCCUUAUAGAGUGGUGGCAAAUAUCUUGCACAUGAGAUCAUCGUUGUUUCGAUAAAGGAUCAUUGCACUUCGAUAGUGCUUUAAGUGUCUCUCCGGGUCUUUAUCCCCUUUGAAAGAUGUGAAAUGUGGCAUGUUAAACUCGUGUGGAAGCUCUGUUUGCUAGAUCUCAUCCGUGAAAGGUGACCUGCUUAUGUUGGUCAUGUUCCAUCGUAGUGCCUCGUCGAUGACCUCGUUGCGUUGGAAAUCGUGCAAUCGCUUGGUCAAGAGUCUCUUUACUUCUUCCUGAAUUUGCCUUUAUUGCGAUAGCAGAGCUCUCGGCUGCCCCCAGCCAUAACUUGCUAGUCUAGGCUGCUCUUCCAUGUGUUUGGCUCUUCUAUGCCGCGGAUGCAGUGCAUGUGGUGCAUUCCUAGCAGGGGAGCGAGUUCUUCGCAGGCUGCUGAUUGAACUUGAGCUGGAUUGAGUGACUACUUAUCUCCGUCCGUCGUGCUACCUAUUCCGAUGUAAGGUGGAUGAUUCUCCUUGCGGGCUUAGCCACGAAUAAACACUUUGCUCGGAAGGUUGCUCAUGUUGACUAUCGGAGUGUGACCCCAACCGUGAAUGUAUGCUCAUCCGUGGGCCUAGUCGAGAGUGCACGCUUCUCCUCGCGCUAAGACGGGAGUAUACGCAAUCUCAAGGGCCCAAUCGGGAGUGUACACUACCCGAACGCUCGACUCGUGGCUGGUCGAGUGGCUGCUUGCCGGGACGUUGCUGGAAAGGUUCGUCUGCCCUUGUCCUACUUCGGGAUACCUCGUCCGUGGCACGUUGGAUCCCGAUGCGUUACAAAAGUUGAUUCACCAAGGUUAUUUGUUGUGCAAGGGCACUCGUCAACUCCAUAACUUGUCGAGACAAGUGUUGUUCGCCAUUUGGAUUGGAAUAGCUUGGAAGGAAUGUGCCUCCUUAGGUAGUGGAAAUGUGGUAGACUCCGGGAGCAAGAUUUAAGUUGGGAAAUGUCAAACCCGCGAAAAUAUGUGGUGAGAAUGCACCCGGCUCGAUGGUAGGUCCGGAUGGUUGAGAUAAUCUUGGGCCGAAUUGGGCUGCUUGGAAAGCCAUGGGAGCAGACUGGGCCAUGAGAGCAGGCUGGGCCAUGAGAGUGGGCUGCUCGAGAGGAGCAGGCUGAGCCACGAGAGUGGGCUGCUUGUUGGGAGCAGGCUGGGUCACGAGAGCAGGCUGCUCGGCAGGAGCAGGCUGGGCCGCAAGAGCAGGUUGCUCGGUGGGAGCAGGCUGGGCAACAGGAGUGGGUUGCUCGAUGGAAGUAGGCUGCUCAGUAUGUGAUGCAUGCGAAUGCGAGGCUUAGGCUCAGGCCCGUGCAAAGUUGGAUGGCACGGCUUGGGCCAUGGUGGAACCUCGUAGUAGUGGUACCAUUCCGCCUAUGACCACAUUUAGUCUCGUGGAUCAUCGCGGUCCCAUUUCUUGAGUAAUAGAAUUUCACUUAUGGAAUUUUCUAAAUUUCUAGCCAUUAUAUUUUUCUUAUACAUUUUAUCAAAGAACCUUUGCAAGUAAAAAAUUCUAAUAAUAAAAACGUAUGAAAAAUAUUCAAAUGGACUAGAAAACAAAGAAAAAACCUUUUUGUGCGAGAUUAUGGAUUUCAACAAUCAAUGAAAGCACCAAUUUGUGGAUGCAAAUUUCCGCCGCUUUCUUCUUGGACAAAAUUACACCUACAAAACAAUUAACACCUUAGGUCAAGGCCAAGAGCCUCACGUGCCCACGAUGAAUGGGGGGGGCCUUUGGCCGAAGAACCUUCGAUGCCAAAGUUAGAAUUUAGAGAGAAAAAGUGUUUAGAGAAUUUUUGGAAGUUUUGUAAGAGUAUCAACUUAGGUCUUUUUAGAGAAAAUGGGGUCUAAUUUAUAGAGAAUGACCAAUCCCCUUUUUAGAAGAUGUGGCAGGCCCUUUUGGGCUCCUUUUGGUGUGUCAUGGGUGAUGGGUUAUGUAAUGGGGGAUUAAUUGGCAUGAUGGGUCAUUUAAUUGGUGAUUUAAUGGAUUAAUUAGGAAAAAAUCCAUUAAUUCACCAAUUAAUCUAAUUUAAAUGAAAUGCUCGGAAUGGUUACCUUGUGGAGUAUGUGGAUGAAAUAACUUUUAUUUGUUACCUUCUUUGGGCAUUUUUGACUUGGUUAACGGAUGAUUGCCUGCUGCUCGUGCAUAGGAAUCCCGGUAUGCCU